CAAAAAUGUAAAAAGCUACUGCCUGUGGGCUAUCAUUUGCUUUGGAACAGGUUUCCCAAAGAAAUACAGCAGGCUCGAGGAAUGGACAAAGCUCUCAGAAACCUGAUCUGAUUUCGUGGUUGACCCUCAUCUCAGUAGAUCAGACUACAGAACUCAUGAGCUUCUCACCUCUGGGAGGAGUCACCUGGAAGAGUCUCCAGCUAUGGCUGUACUGAUGAUGACUGAAGCUCUGCCCAUCCCAGGAUACAGGUGUGCUGGGGUCAAGACACAUUAAGAUCACACACUGAGCUGCAGCAGUUCAGCUUUCUGGUCCCUUUGCUUCUUUGAUAAUGACAAGAUGGAAAAUACACGGGCUGGAGAGACUACCUAAAUAAAAGCAGUUGACGAAGGGGGAAGAAAAUAACA
RNAcentral lists this long non-coding RNA (405 nucleotides) under Phasianus colchicus (ring-necked pheasant). RNAcentral describes it as "lncRNA (ENSPCLG00000017190.1)". Lineage: Eukaryota; Metazoa; Chordata; Aves; Galliformes; Phasianidae. The record is from RNAcentral.